Molecule: ribosomal RNA, 163 nt
Filed under: Clarias theodorae
Lineage: Eukaryota; Metazoa; Chordata; Actinopteri; Siluriformes; Clariidae
Description: 5.8S ribosomal RNA
Rfam family: 5.8S ribosomal RNA
About the family: 5.8S ribosomal RNA (5.8S rRNA) is a component of the large subunit of the eukaryotic ribosome.
Source: RNAcentral
CUGACAACUCUUAGCGGUGGAUCACUCGGCUCGUGCGUCGAUGAAGAACGCAGCCAGCUGCGAGAACUAAUGUGAAUUGCAGGACACAUUGAUCAUCGACACUUCGAACGCACAUUGCGGCCCCGGGUCCCUCCCGGGGCUACGCCUGUCUGAGGGUCGCUAU